This 405-nucleotide ribosomal RNA is filed under the name Coscinodiscus sp. RNAcentral's name for it is "partial large subunit ribosomal RNA". It matches the Rfam family "Bacterial large subunit ribosomal RNA", at positions 2081 to 2485 of the family's 2925-position model. The record is from RNAcentral. Lineage: Eukaryota; Bacillariophyta; Coscinodiscophyceae; Coscinodiscales; Coscinodiscaceae.
CAGAAAGACCCUAUGAAGCUUUACUGUAACUUGAAAUUGAAAUUGGACUUUAUUCGCGCAGUAUAGGUGGGAGGCGUUGAGAAUACUCUUGCGGGAGUAUUGGAGCUAUUAGUGAGAUACCACUCUUAUAAUGUUAGGUUUCUAACUUUGAACCAUUAUCUGGUCAAAGAACAGUUUCAGGCGGGCAGUUUGACUGGGGCGGUCGCCUCCCAAAUGGUAACGGAGGCGUACAAAGGUUUCCUCUGAACGGAUAGAAAUCGUAUCUAGAGUGUAAAGGCAUAAGGAAGCUUGACUGUGAGACCUACAAGUCGAGCAGGGACGAAAGUCGGUCUUAGUGAUCUGACGGUACUGAGUGGAAAGGCCGUCACUCAACGGAUAAAAGUUACUCUAGGGAUAACAGGCUGA